UAAGGAGGCACAGCCAGGAGAACUA
Molecule: non-coding RNA, 25 nt
Filed under: Cricetulus griseus (Chinese hamster)
Lineage: Eukaryota; Metazoa; Chordata; Mammalia; Rodentia; Cricetidae
Source: RNAcentral